Molecule: RNA transcript, 1208 nt
Organism: Hyaena hyaena (striped hyena)
Lineage: Eukaryota; Metazoa; Chordata; Mammalia; Carnivora; Hyaenidae
Gene name: translation initiation factor IF-2-like
Exons: 3
Source: RefSeq, a predicted model, not a curated record
AACCGACUCCACUUUAGCUCGAAUGAAAUGUCCGUCUCCUCCCGGCGCCGUCCCCGCCGCCAACGCCGCCGCGGCCGGGGCCACUCGCCUCCCUCCCGCCCGCCCUCCCGCCCGGGCCGGGGCCGGGGGCCGGGGCCGGGCCGGCGCCUGCGAGGCCGCUCCCGCUGCGGGCCCGGCCGGGGAGCGGGCGCGGGGCCGCGGCGCGGCUCUUUGUGCGCCCGGCCGAGCAGCGGCGGGACGCGGGCCAGGCCGCCUCCUGCUCGCCGCCGCCGCCGCCGCCGAGCUCCGGGCCCGAGGCCGAGGAGGGGGCGUCGGGGCACCGGCCGGCCCCCUCUCGGCGGCGCCCCGGCCGGCUCCAUUUUGUGCGGGGAGCCGGGCGGGGGCACUGGCCCGGCCCCCGGCCCCGACCCCGCGCCCUUGGCCGGGCUGCCGCGCGGAGUCCCCGGGGGCGCCCCCCUCCCGCCUGCCCGUGGCCGGCGGGGGCAUGGCGGGGCCGGGCCGCUUUGUCUGCCCUGGCGCCCGGGCGCGGCGGGCGGGCGGGCGGGCAGGCGUUGGGCGCGGGCCCGGGCCCUGGGCGGGCGAGUCGGGGGAUGCGCGCCAGGGGCGGCCGCCCCUCGCCGGCGGGACUGACAGUCGGCCGCGCGGGGCGGUGGGGCCGGGGCCAGCCAGCGCACCUUCGUGGGGAGGAAGCGAGGUCCCCGGGAGGAAGGAGUGGAUUUGGUUUCCCCGCAGUCUGGUUUACACGUAAAGAAUGCAGCCAUCUGGCGGCUUGCGGUCCCUGGACUUGCCCCGAAGGUGGGAAGGAAGCCUUUCGGAUUGGACUAAGGUUUUAAUCUUCGGUGGGAGGCGGGGAGGAUCUGCCGGGCCUGAGGAGCAGUAGUCUCCGAGAACAAAGAAUUAGAGAGCACCCACAAGUCGUAAUCUUGCCCAAAGUACUGUAACAAGCAUAUAAUCUGGAGUGUUGUGAUGAAUAUUUAUGAUGAACAUGACGAGAUUCAGGGUUAUGUUGGAAAAGCAGUUCCUCCCUGCUAUAGAAUUAACUUUUUUGCAAAGUCUCCAAAAGAUAUCUGCCAGUUCAAGAAACCUUUAUUGGACGCCUGCUUUUUUGUCCUCAAUUGAAUAAGAAGAGUUGAAAUUGGGCAAAGAUUAGACACCUUUUAGGUGUUUCUGAACACCACUGACAACACGGUUCUGACAGUAUUUCAUGA